RNAcentral lists this ribosomal RNA (937 nucleotides) under Lojkania enalia. RNAcentral describes it as "SSU rRNA". It matches the Rfam family "Eukaryotic small subunit ribosomal RNA", at positions 170 to 1114 of the family's 1831-position model. The record is from RNAcentral. Lineage: Eukaryota; Fungi; Ascomycota; Dothideomycetes; Pleosporales.
CAUGCCUAAAAACCCCGACUUCGGAGGGGUGUAUUUAUUAGAUAAAAAACCAAUGCCCUUCGGGGCUCUUUGGUGAUUCAUGAUAAACUUAACGGAUCGCAUGGCCUUGCGCCGGCGACGGUUCAUUCAAAUUUCUGCCCUAUCAACUUUCGAUGGUAAGGUAUUGGCUUACCAUGGUUUCAACGGGUAACGGGGAAUUAGGGUUCGAUUCCGGAGAGGGAGCCUGAGAAACGGCUACCACAUCCAAGGAAGGCAGCAGGCGCGCAAAUUACCCAAUCCCGACACGGGGAGGUAGUGACAAUAAAUACUGAUACAGGGCUCUUUUGGGUCUUGUAAUCGGAAUGAGUACAAUUUAAACCCCUUAACGAGGAACAAUUGGAGGGCAAGUCUGGUGCCAGCAGCCGCGGUAAUUCCAGCUCCAAUAGCGUAUAUUAAAGUUGUUGCAGUUAAAAAGCUCGUAGUUGAACCUUGGGCCUGGCUGGCCGGUCCGCCUCACCGCGUGCACUGGUCCGGCCGGGCCUUUCCUUCUGGAGAGCCUCAUGCCCUUUACUGGGUGUGUAGGGGAACCAGGACUUUUACUUUGAAAAAAUUAGAGUGUUCAAAGCAGGCCUUUGCUCGAAUACGUUAGCAUGGAAUAAUAGAAUAGGACGUGCGGUCCUAUUUUGUUGGUUUCUAGGACCGCCGUAAUGAUUAAUAGGGAUAGUCGGGGGCAUCAGUAUUCAAUUGUCAGAGGUGAAAUUCUUGGAUUUAUUGAAGACUAACUACUGCGAAAGCAUUUGCCAAGGAUGUUUUCAUUAAUCAGUGAACGAAAGUUAGGGGAUCGAAGACGAUCAGAUACCGUCGUAGUCUUAACCGUAAACUAUGCCGACUAGGGAUCGGACGAUGUUUCUAUCUUGACUCGCUCGGCACCUUACGAGAAAUCAAAGUUUUUGGGUUC